GGAAGGGGAGGGGGAGCCCCAAAAAGGAGGAAAUGAGGAUUUGGCGGCUCUUGCUUUAUUUCUGCAAAAUGCACUUUCCAGGUGGCCCCGCGCGGCUCCGGCCUGGCCCGGAUCCCCCGCGCCUCCGCCCGGCCCGGCCCCCGGGCGCCCCCGAGCCCUCCCGCCGCCGGCCGCCGGGACGCGGUCGGGCCCCGGCCUCUGCCCCUCCGGGCUCGGGCCCCGCGCAGCACUCACCUCGGCCGGGCUGCGCUCCCCGCGGGCCUGCGCCGAGCCCGAUAAAUGACACAUCUUAGAAGCUGGGAUACAGCGGUGGAACACAUUUUAAACAUUUAAACACACUGUGAUACUCUAAGAUUAAAGAACAUAAAAGGUAGCUUCUGGCAUGAAGAGGAUGGGGAUUUUUUAUUCAAAAAUGAAAAGCUGAGAUACUCCUGAAACCAUUGUUGCACUAUAUAUAUGCUAACUUGGACGUAAAUUAAACAAAUAAAUGUAAUUUUAAAAAAUGAAAAGCA
RNAcentral lists this long non-coding RNA (512 nucleotides) under Felis catus (domestic cat). RNAcentral describes it as "lncRNA (ENSFCAG00000051988.1)". The record is from RNAcentral. Lineage: Eukaryota; Metazoa; Chordata; Mammalia; Carnivora; Felidae.